GACGAAGGUGGCAAGCGUUGUUCGGAUUCACUGGGCAUAAAGGGCGCGUAGGCGGUUCCGAAGGUGGCGUGUGAAAUCCCCCGGCUCAACUGGGAGAGGUCUUCGGAUACGGGCGGACUCGAGGAAGGUAGAGGAAGGUGGAAUUCCCGGUGUAGUGGUGAAAUGCGUAGAGAUCGGGAGGAACACCGGUGGCGAAGGCGGAUCUCUGGGCCUUACCUGACGCUCAGGCGCGAAAGCUAGGGGAGCGAACAGG
RNAcentral lists this ribosomal RNA (253 nucleotides) under uncultured bacterium. RNAcentral's name for it is "partial 16S ribosomal RNA". It matches the Rfam family "Bacterial small subunit ribosomal RNA", at positions 524 to 776 of the family's 1533-position model. The record is from RNAcentral.